GUGGGGAAUAUUGGGCAAUGGGCGGAAGCCUGACCCAGCGACGCCGCGUGGGGGAAGAAGUCUUUCGGGAUGUAAACCCUUGUUGUACGGGACGAAGGAAGUGACGGUACCGUACGAGGAAGCCCCGGCAAACUACGUGCCAGCAGCCGCGGUAAUACGUAGGGGGCGAGCGUUGUCCGGAAUCACUGGGCGUAAAGCGCACGUAGGCGGGCGGUCAAGUCGGCCGUGAAAGGCACGGGCUCGACCUGUGCAUGUCGGUCGAUACUGGCGGUCUGGAGUCUGGGAGAGGGAACUGGAAUUCCCGAUGUAGCGGUGAAAUGCGUAGAUAUCGGGAGGAACACCAGUGGCGAAGGCGGGUUCCUGGCCCAUGACUGACGCUGAGGUGCGAAAGCCGGGGGAGCGAACGGGAUUAGAAACCCUUGUAGUCC
This 428-nucleotide ribosomal RNA is filed under the name uncultured bacterium. Its description in RNAcentral is "partial 16S ribosomal RNA". It matches the Rfam family "Bacterial small subunit ribosomal RNA", at positions 354 to 796 of the family's 1533-position model. The record is from RNAcentral.